RNAcentral lists this ribosomal RNA (460 nucleotides) under uncultured bacterium. RNAcentral describes it as "partial 16S ribosomal RNA". It matches the Rfam family "Bacterial small subunit ribosomal RNA", at positions 338 to 795 of the family's 1533-position model. The record is from RNAcentral.
CCUACGGGAGGCAGCAGUGAGGAAUAUUGGUCAAUGGGCGCAAGCCUGAACCAGCCAAGUCGCGUGAGGGAUGACGGUCCUAUGGAUUGUAAACCUCUUUUGUCGGGGAGCAAGGCCCGCCACGUGUGGCGGGAAGGAGAGUACCCGAAGAAAAAGCAUCGGUUAAAGCCGUGCCAGCAGCCGCGGUAAUACGGAGGAUGCGAGCGUUAUCCGGAUUUCUUGGGUUUAAAGGGUGAGUAGGCGGAAGGUUAAGUCAGUGGGCAAAUGUCGGUGCUAAACAACGGCCUGCUGUUGAAACUGGUCUUCUUGAGUGAGCGAGAAGUAUGCGGAAUGCGUGGUGUAGCGGUGAAAUGCAUAGAUAUCACGCAGAACUCCGAUUGCGAAGGCAGCAUACCGGCGCUCAACUGACGCUGAGGCACGAAAGCGUGGGGAUCGAACAGGAUUAGAUACCCUAGUAGUC